UAGUCAUAUGCUUGUCUCAAAGACUAAGCCAUGCAAGUCUAAGGAUAAAUAUUUUAUUCGUAAACCUGCAAACAGCUCAUUAAAUCAGUAACAUUCUACUUGAUCGUACAAUCUUAAUUGGAUAACUGUAGUAAUUCUAGAGCUAAUACAUGCAAAAGGGCAUUAUUGUGGAAACAUGAUAAUGUUGUAUUUAUUAGGAACAAAAUCAAUACAAGCCAUUAACUUCAGCUUAUUUCGAUUUGUUGGAGGGUUUGUAUUAAAGGCGAAAUGUGACAACUUUACGAAUCACCAGGAAACUGUGUGAUGCUGCAAACGAGUUUCUGCCCUAUCAACUUUCGAUGGUAAUGUAUUUGAUUACCAUGGUUAUGACGGGUAACGGAGAAUUUGGGUUUGAUUCCGGAGAGAAAGCCUGAGAGACGGCUAUCACUUCUAAGGAAGGCAGCAGGCGCGUAAAUUGCCCAAUCUUAAUUCGAGGAGGCAGUGACAAGAAAUACCGAUAUUGGUCCUUUAAGGAACAAUGAUUGGAAUGAGAACAACGUAAAGACAUUAACGAGUAACAAUU
RNAcentral lists this ribosomal RNA (562 nucleotides) under uncultured eukaryote. RNAcentral describes it as "bacterial SSU rRNA". It matches the Rfam family "Eukaryotic small subunit ribosomal RNA", at positions 21 to 549 of the family's 1831-position model. The record is from RNAcentral.